RNAcentral lists this unclassified non-coding RNA (433 nucleotides) under Athalia rosae (coleseed sawfly). Its description in RNAcentral is "misc RNA ENSAEAG00005002802.1". Lineage: Eukaryota; Metazoa; Arthropoda; Insecta; Hymenoptera; Athaliidae. The record is from RNAcentral.
CAUCAGGAGCGACAUCAAUGGUAGCGCGUACAUCCUUUGAGAAGAGAUAGAAGAACCUAGCGAGGAGAAAGAGACAUAUAUUGGGGUAAGGAUUAGCAAUGGAUUAGUACGCAGUUACUGCUGCGCCAUUUAGUUGGUUGAGUCCAGUGUCCAGUUUUGAUUGAGCAGUAACUCGAGAAGUAGUGUUCCGUUUGAUCUACAUAUUUUGACAAAGUGCUUGACAAUCGGUAGCUACUGAAAGACCUAUAUCAUUGGAAAUUUCGUGUAUUCCCUAAUUCGGAAAUUUUUUCAUAAGCACUGGCUUUCAAUCAAUCAUCACGGUGCCUCGUUCAUCGCAGUACCCAUUCAACUUCCAACCACGAAGGGCAGGAGUUACAUGGCAUCGCACGAUUCGUUUACAGAUCCAUCUCUACCGGAACAGGAUGGAGAGGAG